RNAcentral lists this small nuclear RNA (120 nucleotides) under Ochotona princeps (American pika). Its description in RNAcentral is "U4 spliceosomal RNA (ENSOPRG00000022007.1)". It matches the Rfam family "U4 spliceosomal RNA". Rfam says of the family: U4 small nuclear RNA (U4 snRNA) is a component of the major U2-dependent spliceosome. The record is from RNAcentral. Lineage: Eukaryota; Metazoa; Chordata; Mammalia; Lagomorpha; Ochotonidae.
AGCUUUGCACAAUGGCAGUAGUGUAGCCAAUGAGGUGCAAUUAUUGCUAAUUGGAAACUUUUCCCAGUAUAUUUACUUAUAUUUUCCAGAAAAAAAGUGAAAAUUCUAAGUACUGUUACU